AAGAAUUAUUCCAGUGAGGAGGUUCAAACUAGGUUCGUAGAAGUUAAUUCAAAUAACGUAAUUCCGCCAACGUUAGUCAGAUCUCAAAAAAAAUUGACUUUUGAAAUUCUGGUUUGUUUAAAAAAAAUUUUUGGAUACUUAUUUAUUAAAAAAAUGUAGACAAAAUUUUCUAAGCAUUGUUUUUUUUAGUGCAGUGAGUUCUAAAAAUUCCAAGAAAAUAUUUCAUUUGUGUAUUUUAGUAGAUAUUUUAUUUUCAUUUUUUCUCUAAGUAAUAAAGAUUAGUGUUCAAUAUUUAUUACAGGUAUAACAAAGAAAAUUUAAUGAAAAAAUAUAAAAAGUUUAGUAUUUUUUGUGGAAUAUAGACGACUAAUUAUACUAUAGUAAAGAUAGGUAGGUAUUAGUAGUAAACUGAAUUAAGUUGAAUGGAUAAUUUAUGAAAUUUAAAAAAAUAUAGGCAUUUGGCAUAAUGAAGUGUUGUGACUUCGAAAAACUAAAUUGUCCAGUUGUGAAGAAGUGCUGCUUUUGUGUGCCUAUUAGAAAGGGUGUUAUUAUUUUUGGAUAUGUCAAUUUGGUUCUUUCCCUCCUGUCAGUCCCUUUCCUCCUCUUCUUACUAGUGGAAGGGAUAACAAGUGCGAGGGAUACAGAAGAUAACCAGGAAGUAGACAAGGAAGCUGCGCCGUUAGAUCCUGUGCUUCAUAUACCAUUGACGAUUGCUUUUGUGGCGAUUGAUGUGAUCAUCACAAUUAUACUGCUGGUUGGUGCUCAUAAGAAAAAACUUAUUCUUCUACAAAUAUACUUUUACUUUGGUACGCUGUUCCAAAUCCUGACCCUGUGUGUCGACCUCAUAUACUUUGACUUCAGAGAAUACGUGGAGAACAUUAUAUACUUCAUCUUUUUUGGUCUAAACAUCUACCUGCUGUUUCUGGUGUACAACACGAUGCAAGCCAUCCAGGAAAGUCGAGAAGUGCAAUACGUCACAUACCGCGAGCGCUAGCAUCCCCUACCGCCUUCACCCUUAUUGCUUAACCUACAGAUAAAAUAUGCAGUCACGUGGAGAUCCCCAUACUAACAAAAUGCUGCUUCUGCGUGCCGCUGAGGAAGGGCCUCAUCGCCUUCGCUUACGUCAAUUUAGUGCUAACAGUAGUGGUG
RNA transcript from Maniola jurtina (meadow brown), 1149 nucleotides. RefSeq lists it as uncharacterized. The record is from RefSeq and is a predicted model, not a curated record. Lineage: Eukaryota; Metazoa; Arthropoda; Insecta; Lepidoptera; Nymphalidae. The transcript is spliced from 6 exons.